RNAcentral lists this ribosomal RNA (442 nucleotides) under uncultured bacterium. RNAcentral describes it as "partial 16S ribosomal RNA". It matches the Rfam family "Bacterial small subunit ribosomal RNA", at positions 338 to 795 of the family's 1533-position model. The record is from RNAcentral.
CCUACGGGAUGCAGCAGUGGGGAAUAUUGGGCAAUGGGCGCAAGCCUGACCCAGCAACGCCGCGUGAAGGAAGAAGGCUUUCGGGUUGUAAACUUCUUUUGUCAGGGAAGAGUAGAAGACGGUACCUGACGAAUAAGCCACGGCUAACUACGUGCCAGCAGCAGCGGUAAUACGUGGGUGGCAAGCGUUGUCCGGAUUUACUGGGUGUAAAGGGCGUGUAGCCGGGUUGACAAGUCAGAUGGGAAAUCCUGCGGCUUAACCGCAGAACUGCAGUUGAAACUGUUGAUCUUGAGUACUGGAGAGGCAGAUGGAAUUCCUAGUGUAGCGGUGAAAUGCGUAGAUAUUAGGAGGAACACCAGUGGCGAAGGCGGUCUGCUGGACAGCAACUGACGGUGAGGCGCGAAAGCGUGGGGAGCAAACAGGAUUAGAUACCCGAGUAGUC